CCUACGGGGUGCAGCAGUGAGGAAUAUUGGUCAAUGGGCGCGAGCCUGAACCAGCCAAGUUGCGUGAAGGAUGACUGCCCUACGGGUUGUAAACUUCUUUUAUAAGGGAAUAAAGUGAGGCACGUGUGCCUUUUUGUAUGUACUUUAUGAAUAAGGAUCGGCUAACUCCGUGCCAGCAGCCCCGGUAAUACGGAGGGUGCGAGCGUUAAUCGGAAUUACUGGGCGUAAAGGGUUCGCAGGCGGUAUGUCAAGUCAAGGGUGAAAUCCCCGGGCUCAACGUGAGAACUGCCUUUGAAACUGGCAACCUGGAGUGUGUGAGAGGUAGGUGGAAUUCGUGGUGUAGCAGUGAAAUGCGUAGAUAUCUGGAAGAACAUCGAUGGCGAAGGCGACUAACUGGCACAUAACUGACGCUGAGGAGCGAAAGCGUGGGUAGCAAACAGGAUUAGAUACCCUAGUAGUC
This 460-nucleotide ribosomal RNA is filed under the name uncultured bacterium. RNAcentral describes it as "partial 16S ribosomal RNA". It matches the Rfam family "Bacterial small subunit ribosomal RNA", at positions 338 to 795 of the family's 1533-position model. The record is from RNAcentral.